CUGAGAGGAUGACCAGCCACACUGGAACUGAGACACGGUCCAGACUCCUACGGGAGGCAGCAGUGGGGAAUAUUGCACAAUGGGCGCAAGCCUGAUGCAGCCAUGCCGCGUGUAUGAAGAAGGCCUUCGGGUUGUAAAGUACUUUCAGCGGGGAGGAAGGGAGUAAAGUUAAUACCUUUGCUCAUUGACGUUACCCGCAGAAGAAGCACCGGCUAACUCCGUGCCAGCAGCCGCGGUAAUACGGAGGGUGCAAGCGUUAAUCGGAAUUACUGGGCGUAAAGCGCACGCAGGCGGUUUGUUAAGUCAGAUGUGAAAUCCCCGGGCUCAACCUGG
RNAcentral lists this ribosomal RNA (333 nucleotides) under Escherichia coli. Its description in RNAcentral is "bacterial SSU rRNA". It matches the Rfam family "Bacterial small subunit ribosomal RNA", at positions 292 to 617 of the family's 1533-position model. The record is from RNAcentral. Lineage: Bacteria; Pseudomonadati; Pseudomonadota; Gammaproteobacteria; Enterobacterales; Enterobacteriaceae.